This 548-nucleotide ribosomal RNA is filed under the name [Candida] sp. RNAcentral's name for it is "eukaryotic LSU rRNA". It matches the Rfam family "Eukaryotic large subunit ribosomal RNA", at positions 63 to 669 of the family's 3401-position model. Lineage: Eukaryota; Fungi; Ascomycota; Saccharomycetes; Saccharomycetales. The record is from RNAcentral.
UACCAACCGGGAUUGCCUCAGUAACGGCGAGUGAAGCGGCAAAGCUCAAAUUUGAAAUCGGUGCGCCGAGUUGUAAAUUGAAGGAGGGGUGCUGGGACGACGCCGGUUUAAGUGCCUUGGAACAGGCCGCCAUGGAGGGUGACAGCCCCGUGAAGCCGGGCCGUCGUGCCGUGCAGCGCUGCUCCGACGAGUCGAGUUGUUUGGGAAUGCAGCUCUAAGUGGGUGGUAAGCUCCAUCUAAAGCUAAAUAUUGGCGAGAGACCGAUAGCGAACAAGUACAGUGAUGGAAAGAUGAAAAGCACUUUGAAAAGAGAGUGAAACAGCACGUGAAAUUGUUGAAAGGGAAGGGCUUGGCCUCAGACGCGGGUGCGCUUCGGUGCGCCCGGGCCAGCAUGGGCUCGUGGGGGGCGACAAUGGCGCGAGAACGUGGCACCGCUUCUGCGGUGUGUUACAGCUCGCGCAGACAGUCCCACCGCGGGCCGAGGCAUGCGCAUUUGCAAGGAUGCUGGCGUAAUGAUGUCAAGCCGCCCGUCUUGAAACACGGACCCA